Long non-coding RNA from Pogoniulus pusillus (Red-fronted tinkerbird), 2069 nucleotides. RefSeq lists it as uncharacterized. The transcript has 2 exons. The record is from RefSeq and is a predicted model, not a curated record. Lineage: Eukaryota; Metazoa; Chordata; Aves; Piciformes; Lybiidae.
GCCUCUCCUCCCCGGCCGGGCCCUCUCUAUGCAGCCCCGGUCCGGUUCGCUUCCCCGGGCCCUUUCCCCGGCGGCACAGCAGUGGGGGCGGCCGCGGGGUCAGCAGAGCCGGCCCCCGGGGGGGGCAGCCUGGGUUCAGCUCCGGCUCCAGCUCCGGGCAGGGCCCCAUCCCCCGGCCGAGGGCUAAGCACAACAUGUGGCUCCAGCUGAGGGACUCCGGUUUCCGCACGCCAUUAGUGCGGGAGGAAUUCCUCCGCAGGCAUGCACGCACGGAACGAGGCGAAGCCGCAUGGGGGUUUUUCGAGGCUCCCGCGGAAGAAAAGCUGCAUCAAGCAACGGGAAAGGCACAGGGCCCCUUCCUAGCAGAGCCCAGGGCAGGAAACCAUGUGAGGAAUUGUUCGUGGGGUGCCAGGAGUGACUGCAAGCCGAGGCUGGGGGGAGCACAGAGUCUGGGGGUGCCAGGACGCCCCAGCCCAUGCUGCCAGCAGCUGCCCGGGCUCAGACAUGCCGUGGUGGGUGGCUCCUGCCCACGAGAUGGAAAGCAGAGGGCAGGAGGAGGCCUGGCCUGCAGCAGGCGUUCAGGGGAUCCAGCACACCCGAGGGCUUUGGAGUACUCUGAGCUUUUACUCCGCUGCAAAAACCCUGCAGUGUUACCUCCCUCCCAGCCUCAGCCAGCAGGCACUGCACCCCCUCCAGUGCUACAGCUCUACCUCGGCUCACAUCUUCUCACAUCUCUCUGCUUUCAUCCCUAUUUUUGAAGUAAACAGACUACUGCAACUGAGUGCCUCCUGUUUGUGUUCCCACUUUAUCCUUGCAAUGCAGGGACAGAGCUGCGCAGCUGUAGGUGAGGCACUGGCUCGGGGGAUCAGUCUGCAAAGCACCUGCUCCCUUUGGCCCCAAGAGCAAAGCCAUGACCAUUACUUACAAGUUAAAACUUCCAGACCCUAAGAAGUGCAGUGAGGAAUCUAUCUCACUCUCCUUGUGAGAUCACCUAAAAACGCAUCCAUCUUCCCUGUUACUCAAAAGCCAUCCUUCAAGUCAACAAAGCUAGAAAAUACCUUUGAUUUCUCUGCCUCUCAGGAAUAAUCUUUACAGACAGCACAGAGAUCCUAAACAUGUUAGUAUCUGAAUGACCCAGGCUGCAGCUGAAGAGUCACUGCUAUAAACACAAGGAAAUUGUUUUCAGUUACACUAAGAAUAUAUAAAUUGGGUUCUGCUGCUGGACAGGACAAGUUUGGGUUAAGUCCAAAAAAGCCAUGAACAAAUUCUGAGACUGGUCUGAGAUUCCCACUGAAGCAGAGUCAAAACAAAGUGACUAAACCAAAGCCCUGGAUAUGCCCAAACUCAGCUGCUCUUAUUUCACUCUUUAUUUUGACAUCAUGCAAAGAAAUCACCAAUAGAGUAAAGAAUUCCACAAAGAUGUCUUGGGAAAAAAAAAUCCAGUAGAAUGAGGAAAACAACUCAUAUCCUAAAAGGAAUGGCUCCAAGCACAAACCAUCUCAUCCCAGGGUUUCUUUCUCAAGAAAACAGAAUUCCCAAGCCUGAAAAUGCUUACUCCUUGUGUUUCACCACUGGUAGCCCCCCCAGGUGCUUUAAGGGUAACCUCUCAUCCAGACAGAGCUAAGCACAUUCCCAAGCUGAAGGUCUCUCAACUCAUUCUUGAAGAGCAAAGACUAUGAUUUAAGGAACCAAAGCUCUUCUGAACAAAACCUUGCAGUGUGGUUUUGUGUUCUGCAGCAGAAAUAAAAGGUGCUGAUGUGCUUUAGCAGUGUGCAAUGCAUUUGUUUGCCAGGCAGCUGAAAUGGUCAGGUGGAAGAGGUAGCAAGAGUUUACAAAAUGCUGAGCAGCAAUGAAUAGAACAAUAAAUAAUUGCUGUUAAAAGCUAAAUUCAGGGUGACUGCCUCUUUUCUCUUGAGGAACAGAUGUUUGUUUUCCACUGGCAGGCCCUUCACUGGCCCUUGAUGCAGAAAUUUGGUGUUUGGACAAAACAAAAUCUGGGUCUGGGCUGUAACAGUCCCAGCGCUUUGCUUCCCACCCAGCAGCCCUUGGAGCUCUUCACACAGAUUCAC